CUUCAGCUCUGAAGUACUGAACAAGGAUCGUCGUGUUGAAUGGAAUACAGCUCUCUGGAGGAGUAUGAAAAUCAAUUAUCCUUAAUAUUAAGCACCCAUUGGAGGAAAUACCUAACCACAGUGCCUCCAGAAAGUUCACUGAUUAUUCAAGUCUGGGAUAAAAUUGGCGCUAGAAUUUGGUUUGAACUCAUGUGGUGAGUACCACUCUCCUGACAAUAACUUUCUCCACAAAUUUUUAAUUUCAUUCUCCAAGUUCUUUUUGUAACCAGUACUUACAAAUUAUCACAGAUUAUAUGAUCCAAAGAC
Molecule: long non-coding RNA, 306 nt
Filed under: Microcebus murinus (gray mouse lemur)
Lineage: Eukaryota; Metazoa; Chordata; Mammalia; Primates; Cheirogaleidae
Description: lncRNA (ENSMICG00000048253.1)
Source: RNAcentral